RNAcentral lists this transfer RNA (78 nucleotides) under Salmonella enterica subsp. enterica serovar Heidelberg str. 90-0318. RNAcentral describes it as "tRNA-Met". It matches the Rfam family "tRNA". From Rfam's summary of the family: Transfer RNA (tRNA) molecules are approximately 80 nucleotides in length. Lineage: Bacteria; Pseudomonadati; Pseudomonadota; Gammaproteobacteria; Enterobacterales; Enterobacteriaceae. The record is from RNAcentral.
GGCUACGUAGCUCAGUUGGUUAGAGCUACAUCACUCAUAAUGAUGGGGUCACAGGUUCGAAUCCCGUCGUAGCCACCA